Molecule: ribosomal RNA, 482 nt
Filed under: uncultured bacterium
Lineage: Bacteria
Description: partial 16S ribosomal RNA
Rfam family: Bacterial small subunit ribosomal RNA
Source: RNAcentral
AUUGAACGCUGGCGGCAUGCUUUACACAUGCAAGUCGAACGGUAACAGGCCGCAAGGUGCGGACGAGUGGCGAACGGGUGAGUAAUGCAUCGGAACGUGCCCAGCCGUGGGGGAUAACUACUCGAAAGAGUAGCUAAUAUCGUAUACGAUCUAUGGAUGAAAGUGGGGGACCGGAAGGCCUCGCGCGAUCGGAGCGGCCGAUGCCGGAUUAGGUGGAUGGUGGGGGAAAGGUGGAGCUGGCCAACGAUCUGUAGAUGGUCUGAGAGGACGACAGGGCACACUGGGAGGGGGACACGGCCCAGGCUCCUGCGGGAAGGACCAGUGGGGAAUUUUGGGCAAUGGGCGGGAACCUUGUCCAACAGUGCCAAGUGCAGGAAGCAGGCCUUCGGGUUGUAAGCUGCUUUUGUACGGAACGAAACGGCUCUGGUUAAUACCCGGGGCUAAUGACGGUACCGUAAGAAUAAGCACCGGCUAACUACGUG